CCUACGGGUGGCAGCAGUGAGGAAUAUUGGUCAAUGGCCGUAAGGCUGAACCAGCCAAGUCGCGUGAAGGAAGAAGGAUCUAUGGUUUGUAAACUUCUUUUAUCGGGGAAUAAAGGUCGCCACGUGUGGCUAUUUGCAUGUACCCUAUGAAUAAGCAUCGGCUAACUCCGUGCCAGCAGCCGCGGUAAUCCGGAGGAUGCGAGCGUUCUCCGGAUUUAUUGGGUUUAAAGGGUGCGUAGGUUGUUUUUUAAGUCAGCGGUGAAAGUUGGUGGCUCAACCAUAAAAUUGCCGUUGAAACUGGAUGUCUUGAGUGUGUUUGAGGUAGGCGGAAUGCGUGGUGUAGCGGUGAAAUGCAUAGAUAUCACGCAGAACUCCGAUUGCGAAGGCAGCUUACUAGGCCAUAACUGACGCUGAUGCACGAAAGCGUGGGGAUCAAACAGGAUUAGAGACCCUGGUAGUC
RNAcentral lists this ribosomal RNA (460 nucleotides) under uncultured bacterium. RNAcentral describes it as "partial 16S ribosomal RNA". It matches the Rfam family "Bacterial small subunit ribosomal RNA", at positions 338 to 795 of the family's 1533-position model. The record is from RNAcentral.